Molecule: ribosomal RNA, 352 nt
Filed under: uncultured bacterium
Lineage: Bacteria
Description: bacterial SSU rRNA
Rfam family: Bacterial small subunit ribosomal RNA
Source: RNAcentral
AGAGUUUGAUCCUGGCUCAGGAUGAACGCUAGCUACAGGCUUAACACAUGCAAGUCGAGGGGAAACGACAUCGAAAGCUUGCUUUUGAUGGGCGUCGACCGGCGCACGGGUGAGUAACGCGUAUCCAACCUGCCCACCACUUGGGGAUAACCUUGCGAAAGUAAGACUAAUACCCAAUGACGUCUCUAGAAGACAUCUGAAGGAGAUUAAAGAUUUAUCGGUGAUGGAUGGGGAUGCGUCUGAUUAGCUUGUUGGCGGGUAACGGCCGACCAAGGCGACGAUCGAGUAGGGGUUCUGAGAGGAAGGUCCCCCACGAUUGGAACUGAGACACGGUCCAAACUCCUACGGAGCA